ACUACUAAGUUUUUGGGUAACCCAUCAAUUUUGCCUCUAAGACACUUGACUUACCCGAGUCCUGGUCCUAUUGGUGUCCAAGUGGACAUGACAGCGGUGGGGAGGGUGGGCACCGCUGAGAUAUUGAGUGUUGCGAUCGGAAUCAAGUCCCCUCCAUUCUGAACAUGAGGUAGCGACAGCGACCGAAGAAUACAAAGAUCCAAGCAGCUCCAACAAACUGAAGUCCUGCCAACUGGGAAUGGAAGGGCACCUAUAAGGCUGUGGGUCAUCAGGCAAACUGUACAUAUGUUUUUAUUCCUUGUGGCAGGCAGCAGUGUGACAAAAAAAGUUCUCUGUCAUGGAGAGUCAAUAUGUUAGUACAUUGUUGAGAAUUUUUACAUCUAUAUGCAUGAGGGAUAUUGGUCUCUGUAUUUUUACACGGUAUGUCCUUGUCAAGUUUGGUUUCAGGGUUAUACUAGUCUCAUAAAAUGACUGACACAAUUAUUUAGUCCACCUCUCUUUUAUGCAAGUGGUUGUGUAAGAUAUUUAUUAUUUCUUCUUUAUGUAUUUGAUAGAAUUUACCACAGAAGCCACUGGUGACUAACAUUUUCUUUGGGGAGAAAUUUUGAAUUGCAAAUUAAAUUUCUCAGGUGGAUAUGCUGUAAUUCCAGUUUUCUUUUUUCUUGUCAGUUGAUAACUUGUGUUUUUUAAAUAAUUUGUCCAUUUAAUCUAAGAUGUUAGUACACUGACAUGAAGUUACUGCUAUCCCUUUAUUAUAUUUUCAAUAUAUUUAGGAUCUGUUGUGGUGCCCCUCUUUCCUUCUAGAUAUUGGCGAAUAUGUUUACUCUCCUUUUGUCUUUACAGUAUCGCUAUAUCAAUUUUAUUAAAUUUUUAAACAACCCUUGUCUUUUUUUCCUAUUUCUCUUUUCUAUUUCAUUGAUUUCCAUUCAUGUUUUUAUUUCUUUUUUAAAUACCUACUUUGGGUUUAGUUUUCUAUUCUUGUUUUUCUCAAAGUUGAGGUCAUGGAUUCUAUCCUUUCUUUUCUAAUACAAAUUAAAUAUAUAAAGUAUAAGUUAAAGCUAUAAAUUUCUUUCUAUAUAUUACUUAAGCUGCACUUCAUUUUUGUACAUUGUGAUUUCAUUACCAUUAAGUUUGAAUGUAUCUAUACUGUCCCUGUUGAUUUCUCUUUGAUCCAUUCCUUAACUAGAAGUAUUACUUAAUUUCCAAAUAUCCAGGGAUAUAAUUUUUGAUAUCCAAAAUAAUUCUGUUUUGGUCUGAGAAUGUACUGUAUACAACUUCAGUCCUUUGAAAUUCAUUGAAUUUUGUUGUUUUGUUGUUAUCCAACAUACAGGUUAUCUUGAUGAGCUUCUUGUGUGUACUUUGAAUGAAUGCAUUCUACAGUUGUCAUAUAUAGUGUUCUAUAAAUAGCAAUUAAACCAAAUUGCUUUGAUAAUUUUGUUAAAAUAUUCUGUAUUCUUGCCACAUUUUUCUACAUGUUUUAUCAAUUACUGAGAGAAAAGGGUCAAAUUCUUCAACUAUGAUUGUGAACUUGUCUAUUUCUCCAUUCAAUUCUAGCAUUUUUUUAAACCUCAUGUAUUUUGAAGCUCCAUUAUUAGAUGAUAGGAUUUUUUAUCUUCUCCAUGAAUUGAGGAGAAUCAUAUGAAACAGCCCUUUCAGUUUCUAGUAAUACUUUAAAUCUGCUAUUAAUAGAGUCACCCUAUAUUCUUAUGCUUAGGGUUUGUAUAUCUUUUUUCAUAAUGUUGUUAAGUGUGUCUUUGGUAAACUACGUAGAGUUGGAUCUUGCUUUUUUACCCAGUCUUAUAAUUUCUGAUUUUAAUGGAGUGCAUUCUAUUUAUAUUUAAUGUAAUUACAUAAUUGUAUCUAUUGCAUUUUUUAUUCAUACUCUUGUUUUCAUUCAUUUGUUUCCCAUUUUCUAUUUUCUUUGGCUUAAUUCUGUAUUUUUUGAUAUUUCAUUUUAUAUCCUAAAUUGACUUUUUACCUAUAACAGUUUUGGGGUAUUUCCACUAAGGAUAAGAAUACAUAGCCAUUACUUAUCACAGUCUACCUUAAAUUAGUAUUAUAUUACUUCAUCUAUAAUGUGGAAAACUUCCUAUUAUGUAAUCAUCAUCCUUUUUGCCAUGGCAUGGAUCAGUACAAGACACUGAUAAGAUAUUUAAGAAUUCAUGUGAUGGAGAACCUUCACGAAUAUAAUCACUUGAUCUUAGUCAAAACGCUAAGAAGCAAGCUAUGAAUAUAAUCAAAUUGGAAAAUAUGUCAAAAAGAUGUUAAUAUCUACUGUGUAGAUGCUGUUUCAUACUGGAGAGAAACAUAAUGAAGGUAAUCAAUAUGGAAAAAGCCUUCAUCCUGAUUCCAAAUUUAAAUGUGCACAAGAGAACUCAUACUGAAGAGAAGUCUUAUGAAUUCAGUGGAUGUUAGAAAGCCUUCACUGAUCACUCACUUACUAAGACUCACAUGGGAUCGAAACUGACAGUACCAACAGCCUGAACCAAGCCAGAACACAGAUUGGGACUUGAACCCAUGGUUUCAAAUUAGAAUCACUCACCCAGGACUCACUGAGGUUUAGGUUCUCCAUACCUCUGUGCAGCAGGAAGUCAGUGAGAGACAAAGUGAUAGGCAAAAAAUAAAUUUAUUUGGAUAGGACGCUUGUGAAAGAUGCAAGCAGGCAGGCAUGUAAACUCUGCCCUGAGGAUCUGAUGGGCUACAGUUUUAUCAUCCAGGGGAGUGGGGGUCGGAAAAGACCACCUCUUCCUUUCUGGGAGUAGUAACUCCUCCUUGGUUUCCAGUAAGGUGUGUAUUCAGGUCUGCAGAAGGGUGGUCCUCAAACUCUUGCCCUUAGUCUGAACCUGAAUGCAGGCCUAAUCCCAUCCCCCACCCAAUGACCUGAGGCAAUUCUCCCCUCCACUAGUCGAGCAAGCCUGCCUUGUGCUGAUGGCUUUCUUGAGCAAUUGAAAAGCUUACAGUGACCUCCCAGUGUCCCCUAAGUUUCCCUCUUUAACUCUGGUCCUUUACUGGGACUUCUACAACUACCUGUGCCUACUCCAUCCCUAUCAGGAUCACACACUGGACACAAACACUAUCAAUGUAAGGAACAUAAGGAAUUCUUCAGCUAUCCUUUGUAUCUUAAUAUGUGAACAUUCACAGUGGAGAAUACUAUGAAUAUACAAAAUGUCAGAAAGCUUAUUCAUUCUUCAUGGACCACUGUUCAUGGAAGAACUCACAGUGGAGCUAAGCCUUAUAUUCAUAUCAUGUGAAAAAUGUUACAAAGCCUUCUAUUUUCUUUCAUCUCUUAGGAAAUGUGAGAACUCUCACUGGAGAAAAACUCUAUGAGUAUGAAAAGUGUGGAAAAAUCAUCAAUUGUCCCUCAUCCUUUAGGGCAUAUAUGAGAACUCAUAUUGAAAAUAUAUCCAGUGAAUGUAGAAGAAUGUGAGAAAGUCCCUCUCUCUGUCCCUUCCCCCACCCCUUGCCGUAGCAUGCAGCUGCAGACCAGGGAUUGAACACAGGUUACAGCAAUGAAAGCACUGAGUCCUAACCACUAGACCACCAGGCGACACCUAAGAAAAUCUUCAUUUCUUUUAUAUCCCUUACAGUACAUUGGAGAGAAGCAUUAUGAGUAUAAGAACUAUGGGAAAACCUUCACUUACUCUUCUAAGUUUACAAGUGAGAAAACAUACCAGAAAGGAUCUGUAUACAUGAAGGAAUAUAUAGUUUCCCAUCCUCUUUUAAUAACCACGAGUACAAACACAGAGGCCCUAUAUUUGUAAACAAUGUGACAAGUCCUUCUUUUAUUCUUUUCAUUUUAUAGUACAUAUGAUAAUGGACACUGGAGAAAAACACUGUGAAUAUAUGAAAUGCAGGAAUGCCUUCAGCUGUUGUUCAUCACUUAGGAAACAUAAAGAGAACUCACAUUGAAGAGAAAUCCUGUUAAUCAGAGUGUGGGGAAGUCUUGAUUUGUAUCUAAUUCUUUCAAAGCCAUGUGAAAAUUCACAUUAUAGAGAAACCAUGUUAGUGUAAUAAAUGUGAGAAAGUAUGGAGUUCCCAUCGUGGCUCAGCAGUUAAUGGUUAAUGAAUGAGGCUAGCAUCCAUGAGGAGGCAGGUUUGAUCCCUGGCCUCACUCAGUGGGUUAAGGAUCUGGUGUUUCCAUGAGCUGUGGUGUAGGUCGAAGCCACUGCUCAGAUCCCAUGUUGCUAUGGCUGUGGCAUAGGCCAGUGGCUACAGCUCCGGUUCAGCCUCUAGCCUAGGAACCUCCAUA
Molecule: long non-coding RNA, 4249 nt
Filed under: Sus scrofa (pig)
Lineage: Eukaryota; Metazoa; Chordata; Mammalia; Artiodactyla; Suidae
Description: lncRNA (ENSSSCG00000063036.1)
Source: RNAcentral